UUUGUUUGUACAAUGUUAUAACUGGCUAUUGUAAUCAUGCUGUGUAACUGCAUCAUUUGUACACGUUUGUGUUGAUGAUAAUUACAAAUCAUUGUAAUUUAAUAAUGUAAUUAAAUAAUUAAUUGCAGUUGUGAAGGAAUUAAGAAAUCCCACCUGGUUGAAGUGAGGGCUCUGAACAACCCCAUCAGGUCAUCAAGAUGGCACUGGAAAGCAUCUGCAUGCUUAUUGGAGAACCUUACACUGACUGGAAGAGUAUCAGACAGAUUGUAAUGAAGGAGAACUUUAUAUCACUCUAGUAAAGCUUGUGGGCCUUUGGUGAAGUGGGCCAUUGCUCAGGACGUUGAGAGCUACGACCCAAUCCGGAACCCUGUCCUAUCCUAGACGACAACAGAAUCAUUACUGAGCUUGAGACUCUUAAGGAAGAGGCUGCAGAAGUUCAGAGGAAGAUGGAGGAGACUGAUACUGUAAUGGCUGAAGUUGACAGAGUCUCCCAGCAAUACCUGCCUCUCUGCACCUCCUGCUCUGCCAUGUACUUCACUCUGGAGUCACUCAAUCAGGUUGUGGACCUGAGGCUGAACUCAUCAUCUCAAGGACUGAUCUCUCAUUCAUAUACUGAAGAUCUAUAGACUGGGUUUAGGAACUAAGGACUGUAACACUAUAAGACUGGUUUAAUUAAUUAAAAUCAUUGUUGACUUGUACUCUACAUGUAUGACUGAA
Molecule: long non-coding RNA, 717 nt
Filed under: Amphimedon queenslandica
Lineage: Eukaryota; Metazoa; Porifera; Demospongiae; Haplosclerida; Niphatidae
Description: uncharacterized LOC109587998, transcript variant X3
Source: RNAcentral